Molecule: ribosomal RNA, 435 nt
Filed under: uncultured bacterium
Lineage: Bacteria
Description: bacterial SSU rRNA
Rfam family: Bacterial small subunit ribosomal RNA
Source: RNAcentral
UGAGGAAUAUUGGUCAAUGGGCGGGAGCCUGAACCAGCCAAGCCGCGUGAGGGAAGAAGGCCCUAUGGGUCGUAAACCUCUUUUGUCAGGGAACAAAAGCGAGUAUGUAUACUAGUCUGAGUGUACCUGAAGAAAAAGCAUCGGCUAACUCCGUGCCAGCAGCCGCGGUAAUACGGAGGAUGCGAGCGUUAUCCGGAUUUAUUGGGUUUAAAGGGUGCGUAGGCGGCGAUGCAAGUCAGCGGUAAAAGCCCGGGGCUCAACCCCAGGGCGAGCCGUUGAAACUGCAGUGCUAGAGAAGGCGAGAGGUACGCGGAAUGCGCAGUGUAGCGGUGAAAUGCUUAGAUAUUGCGCAGAACUCCGAUUGCGAAGGCAGCGUACUGGCGCCUGACUGACGCUGAGGCACGAAAGCGUGGGGAUCGAACAGGAUUAGAUACC